UUGGGAUAUUAGUUGAUGAGUCUAAAGAUGUCACUCAUAAGGAACAAAUGGCUCUUGUGCUGCGCUAUGUCAACAAAGAUGGUGAACUUAUUGAGCGAUUCCUUGGUCUUGUUCAUGUUAAAGAUACAACUGCACAUGCAUUACAAAAAGCAAUAAAUUCUUUGCUUUUACAACAUUCAUUGAGUUCAUCUUUAAUACGGGGACAAGGGUAUGAUGGAGCUAGUAACAUGCAAGGAGAAAUUAAUGGUCUUAAAGCUUUGAUUCUGAAAGAUAAUCCUUCGGCAUAUUGCGUACAUUGCUUUGCUCAUCAAUUGCAAUUGACUCUUGUAGCUGUUGCAAAGAAACACCAUGAUAUAAAUAAUUUUUUUGACAUUCUUGCUAAUGUUCUGAAUGUUGUUGGAGGUUCUUAUAAGCGUAGGGAGAUGCUUAGAGAUGAUCAAGCUGAAAAAUUAGAUGAGUUAUUAGUGCUUGGUGAAGUUCAUACAGGAAGUGGAUUAAAUCAAGAACUUGGACUUCAAAGACCAGGUGAUACCUGUUGGGGAUCUCACUUUAAGACAUUGCGCAACUUUAUAUCUUUAUUCUCAUCAAUUGUUCAUGUACUUGGAGUUCUUGCAAAUGAGGGUUCAAAUUAUCAGGAGAAAGAACUGGCAAAAAGUCUAGUGGAAGAUAUAAGAUCUUAUGAGUUUGUGUAUAUAUUACAUUUGAUGUUAAAAAUAAUGGCAAUAACAUAUGAUUUGAAUAUGGCUCUGCAAAGAAAAGAUCAAGAUAUUGUUAAUGCUAUGAAACUUGUUCAUUUCACAAAGAGGCAAUUGCAAACAAUGAGGGAAUCUAAAUGGAAUUCUUUGUUAGAAGAUGUCUCUUCGUUUUGUGAUAAGAAUGGUAUUAUGAUCCCAAAAAUGGAUGAGAAGUAUGGUAUUGGAAAGUCGAAGCUUAAAAGCUCAACUGUUACAUAUUCUCAUCAUUUGCAUGUAGAAGAUUUUUGUGCCGCUAUUGAUUUGCAACUUUCGGAGCUUAACAAUCGUUUUAGUGAAGUGAAUACUGAUCUGCUUCUUGGUAUGGCUAGUUUGAGUCCGGUGAUUCUUUUGCAAAUUAUGAUAAAAAUAAGAUUAUGAAACUUGCUACAUAUUAUCAAAAUGAGUUCACUGCUUCUAAGCUUGAAGAUCUUAGUUUUGAGCUUGACAACUAUAUUGACUAUGUUCGAGAAAUGGACAAUGCAUUCUCUAACUUGAAAGGGCUUGGUGAUCUCUCGAAGACAUUGGUUAAAACAAAUAUUCACAAGACAUGGGGAAUUGUUUAUUUGCUUGUGAAGCUAAGUUUGAUAUUACCCGUGGCUACUGUAACGGUCGAAAGGGCUUUUUCCUCAAUGAAGUUUAUUAAAAAUGACUUGCGAAGCAGAAUUGGUGAUGACUUUUUGAAUGAUUGUUUAGUUUGUUAUAUAGAGGAUGGAGUAUUUGAAAGUGUAUCUAAUGAUGCGAUCAUUGAUCGUUUUCAAAACAUGACAAGUCGUCGAGUUAAAUUGAAAUGAUAAUGUUUGUAUUCAUAUAUUGUGUUUGUCUGGUUCGUUACCUUUAAUAUAUAUUAGAUAUCGAUACUCAUUCUUUAGUCGGCUUGUUAUUGUAUAUUAGUUUUAGAUCAUCGUCUUUUCUUAUAAUUUAGAACCCAUACACUUUAAAUCCUAACUCCGCCUCUGCCAGGUGGGUAGUAUAUAUAUCCAGUGGUAUGUGUCGUGCUUCGUCGUUUAGUGAGGGUGUAUGGGAGUUUAUGUGUAGCAUUAGAGGAGAUACGUCAAUAGUGGUAGGGGUUGCCAUUACCGAUGGCACUUGAGAUCAUAGGAUAGGCAGUUGUAGUUUAGGUGUCUUAGAGAUUCUUUGCUGGUUUAAUUCAUGGCUGGUGGAGGUGUGUGGGUUUGUAUUGUUGGAGUAGGCAGCGUUUGACAGGUGUUGGUUAGGAGAAGAGGUGUUGGCUUUAGGUUCUUGCAUGAAGGAGUUUGCGUAUGUAGGGGAUUGCUUAGUGAGUGAAUUUGCCGACGUCAGGUGUUUAUGAGUGGCUUGGUAUUAUGAGAGAGCGGCGUUAUAAUUAUGUUCUGGGUCAUAAUGAAUUUGGGAUAGGGGAGUUGGUGUCUGUGAGGAGUGGUGUCUUCAUAAUGAAUUCUUUUGUAGAUGGGUUCCUAAUAAAAUUUCAGUUGGAAGGGGUUUUCCUAUUGGUGCAAGAAUACAAAGACGCGCAUAACGACACAUCUAAUAGCUUGGCUUGUGCAGUUAUCAAUUUUUAGUAGGUGUCCUAUAAAGUUUCCUAUUUUUUGUAAAAUUUGUAAAUCAUAAAAUUCGGUAGGCAGUUCUUGUAAAUGGAUUCAUAUAGUGGAGAAGUUUAUGUGUGUUGCUGCCGGGUUAAACUUUGGUUCCCACUGACGAAGGGAGAGGUAUUGGGCGCCUAUGAACCACGUGCCUUGGUGCAUGACUUUAUUGAAAUUUUCUUUGAUAGUAAAUUUUAUUAGGUAAUAAUCGUAGCCCAGAUCGAUGAGAGUGAGUGGUUCCGAUAGUUUCCAAAGGUUUUGUAAUGAAACCCUUAUUCCAAGUAGUUUUAUAAUGACUGCUUGGGACCAGGGUCGAUAUAUCCACUUUUGUUUGUUUUGGUGAUAGGAAUGAAAUGGGGAUGGUUUAGAGGAUUGUCAGUUUCAUCGUGUAGGCUUAGUUUAUGGAAGAAAACAGCUUCAUCGUCUAUAGAUUAUGAGGUUUGGGGGGGGGGGGGGGGGAGGAAUUAAUUUUUCACGAUAACUUACUUGGUCGUUAAUGUCAGAGGGAGUGUGGGCUUCUUUUGGCUUAUUGGUGCUUCUCUCCUGUUGGUCUUGUUCUUGACCGGUGAGCUUGACAUCCGAGGUUGAAGUCAUUGAUGAGC
This 2895-nucleotide long non-coding RNA is filed under the name Nicotiana tabacum (common tobacco). RNAcentral describes it as "long non-coding RNA (NTAB_LNC006792)". The record is from RNAcentral. Lineage: Eukaryota; Viridiplantae; Streptophyta; Magnoliopsida; Solanales; Solanaceae.